RNA transcript from Lepus europaeus (European hare), 1640 nucleotides. It is a transcript of the gene named ankyrin repeat domain-containing protein 26-like, with no coding region annotated. Lineage: Eukaryota; Metazoa; Chordata; Mammalia; Lagomorpha; Leporidae. The transcript has 5 exons. The record is from RefSeq and is a predicted model, not a curated record.
GCGGCAUAACGGCAUAACGGUUGUGUGGAACGUGGUGGGCGGGCGGCUCAGUUGAUCGGCGGGCAGCGGCGAGGAAGGAUGCGGCGGCGGCGGUAGCGACUCUUCUUCCAGGCCGAGAAGUCGGCGGUCAGCGAGGAAGCAGAGGAAAGCAUGUCAACUGGAGCAAGUAAGAAGCAUGAAAAAGAUAUUGCCAUCACUCAAGUUGCUCCACAACAGCCAGUUAAUAAAUAUGGGUUAAACGCUGAUCACGGAUUGGACAACGGUAACAAACGUAAUAAGGAGUCUACCUCCAAAAGAAAUCUUGAAGACACCAAAUCAGAAAGGAAUUCUAAGACCUCAGAAAACCUUUUUUGAAAUAAGAAACAUAUUUCAUGCUUAUGACAUUGGAGUGGUGACUACCAUUGGAGACUUUAAAGCCAGUUGAUUAUAAAUGGAUAUUCAGAGUCAUAUGCCACAGCAAAAGAAAGAAUCGUGGAGGCCGGUGCCGUGGCUCACUAGGCUAAUCCUCCGCCUUGUGGCACUGGCACACCAGUUCUAGUCCUGGUUGGGGCACCAGAUUCUGUCCGGGUUGCCCCUCUUUCAGGCCAGCUCUCUGCUGUGGCCCGGGAGUGCAGUGGAGGAUGGCCCAAGUACUUGGGCCCUGCACCCCAUGGGAGACCAGGAGAAGCACCUGGCUCCUGCCAUUGGAUCAGUGUGGUGCGCCGGCCAUGGCGGCCAUUGGAGGGUGAACCAAUGGCAAAAAGGAAGACCUUUCUGUGUCUCUCUCUUUCACUGUCCACUGUCAAAAAAAAAAAAAAAAAAAAAAAAAAAGAAAGAAAAAAAGAAAAAAAAUGUGUGCUCAAUGUCAUUUUGUGACACAGAUGUCAUUUUGUGAGUGUGCUCAAUGUCAUUUUGUGACACAGAUGUCAUUUUGUGGCUCAAAAACCAUUUUGUUUUUUUUGUCUCAUUGUCUAAGACCAAAUCCAUCUAAUGCUUUUCCCGUUUAAACCAAAAUGAAAAAAAUUUGAAUAAAGAACAUAUUUUGUUAUGCUUAAAAUUACCAAGAAUUUUUUAUUCCUCUGUCAUGGCCACAACUUCUGUACCACACUGGUUGCAUCUCUAAAUCCGGAGCUGCGUCACUUAGGUCUGUGUGUGCAUCUGUGUACUUAAAGUAAAACUGGAAAGCAUUAGUUGCAGUACAGCUGUGUUCUAGUAUGUCUCCAUAUGAAUUUCAGCAUCAUUUUUUCCAGAUCUGAGAAGAAUGUCUUUGGUAUUUUGAUUGGUAUCACAUUGAAUCUAUAAAUUGCUUUUGGGAGAAUGGACAGUUUGAUGAUGUUGAUUCUUCCAAUCCAUGAGCAUGGAAGAUUUUUCCAUUUUUUGAUAUCCUCUUCUAUUUCUUUCUUUACGAUUUUGUAACUCUCAUCAUAGAGAUCUUUAAGUUCCUUGAUUAGGUUUAUUCCAAGGUAUUUGAUUGUUUUUGUAGCUAUUGUGAAUGGGAUUGAUCUUAGCAGUUCUUUCUCAGCCAUGGCAUUGCCUGUGUAUACAAAGGCUGUUGAUUUUUGUGCAUUGAUCUUAUAUCCUGCUACUUUACCAAACUCUUCUAUGAGUUCCAAUAGUCUCUUAGUAGAGUUCUUUGGGUCCGCUAAAUAAAGAAUCGUAUC